Molecule: long non-coding RNA, 671 nt
Filed under: Equus caballus (horse)
Lineage: Eukaryota; Metazoa; Chordata; Mammalia; Perissodactyla; Equidae
Description: lncRNA (ENSECAG00000055090.1)
Source: RNAcentral
AUGGGGCUGAGGCAGUGCCAGAAUAGCUGCCCCCCAGCUGCCUUGAUGCCUGAAAUUGCCCCAUCCCAGAGCUGCGCCCAGACUACCUGUGAGCACAAAGAACACUGGCACCAAAAGGCCCAGGUUCAAGGCCUGGCUCGGGCGUAUCCCAUAUCACAGGGGGUUGUGGCUAGUGUUCUCUCUCUGACUCUCCAGGGAGGCUGGGGGCUGUGUCCCUGCCAGCAGGCCAGCUUCCACACGACGGGCUCACUCCAUCGCCUCAUGCUGUCUGAUCUGUUCUCAGUGCCACCUUUUCUGCAUGGAAGGAGAUCAUGAAAUGUAGGACGGAAAACACAAAUCAAACCCCAGGUUGCCAAGGGGAUGCAGAGCAAAGGAAGACAGGUGGAAACGAUGAGGCGGCCUUCCGGCACAGGUUGGCCAUGGGUGAUGUGCAAAGCUGUCUUCACACCUGCUGUUUCGUUUGAUCUUUAAAGCAAGCCUGAAAACCACAGAGCGCUGCCCCCAUGUGUGGGUGGGGACACUGAGGCACGUCAAGGGAGCUGCACAGGGCCCCACUGCUGCAUGGCUUGGUGAGCAGUGUGUAGGUCCACACCUGGAAUCUGAACCUGUGAACCCCAGACCGCCAAAGCGGAGCAAGUGAACUUAACCACUAGGCCACUGGGCCAGCCCUG